This 73-nucleotide transfer RNA is filed under the name Anthropoides virgo (demoiselle crane). RNAcentral's name for it is "tRNA-Phe". It matches the Rfam family "tRNA". Rfam says of the family: Transfer RNA (tRNA) molecules are approximately 80 nucleotides in length. The record is from RNAcentral. RNAcentral also lists the same sequence under 12 other names. Lineage: Eukaryota; Metazoa; Chordata; Aves; Gruiformes; Gruidae.
GUCCCUGUAGCUUAUCAAACAAAGCAUGGCACUGAAGAUGCCAAGAUGGUUGUCCCAUAAACACCCAAGGACA